CUCCCAGAGGCCCAGCAGUCCAGGAGCACGAGCAAGAGCGGCUGGAGGCCCCGCGACCCCAUCACCUCGCCGAAACCUGCGCGCCCAGAUGCAGGGGAAUCGCGCGUUGCCAGGGAGGCAGAAUCAUCAAGCUUUAUGAAGGAAUUGCUCAGCGCCGCAGGGAGGGGAGAUCGAGGCUAUGCGAGGACCAAGGAUGGACUCUGCUGUUUUGACUGAAGUGAUGAAUCCAGUAACUGAUUUGUAAAUCAACACCCAGAAGAAAAUAGCCCUGGACUUCUCUCCUCCUCCCGUCCCCGUAUGCCUGGCCCACCACCAGGCACUGUAUUCUUCGUCAAAGGUUUUCUGAAACUUUAUGGGGGCAGGAGGGCUAUUUGAGCAGACUACACAUUCUUCAACAGUCUCAAAUUUACAAGCUUGACCUUUUCUGAAAAUGAAGUAAUAAAUACAGUCACUGACAUAUGCUGACAGGAGUGAAAUAAGAAUUCUUUGUUUACCAGACAACUUUAAACUUGCAGCCUAUUAUUGGACCAUACUGCGGUUUGAAUAAACCAGUUGGCUUUUUAACAAUCA
Long non-coding RNA from Equus caballus (horse), 570 nucleotides. RefSeq lists it as uncharacterized. Lineage: Eukaryota; Metazoa; Chordata; Mammalia; Perissodactyla; Equidae. The record is from RefSeq and is a predicted model, not a curated record.